This 644-nucleotide ribosomal RNA is filed under the name uncultured Actinomycetes bacterium. RNAcentral describes it as "bacterial SSU rRNA". It matches the Rfam family "Bacterial small subunit ribosomal RNA", at positions 232 to 886 of the family's 1533-position model. Lineage: Bacteria; Bacillati; Actinomycetota; Actinomycetes. The record is from RNAcentral.
CGCGGCCUAUCAGCUUGUUGGUGGGGUAAUGGCCUACCAAGGCGACGACGGGUAGCCGGCCUGAGAGGGUGAUCGGCCACACUGGGACUGAGACACGGCCCAGACUCCUACGGGAGGCAGCAGUGGGGAAUAUUGCACAAUGGGCGAAAGCCUGAUGCAGCGACGCCGCGUGGGGGAUGACGGUCUUCGGAUUGUAAACUCCUUUCAGUAGGGACGAAGCGAAAGUGACGGUACCUGCAGAAGAAGCACCGGCCAACUACGUGCCAGCAGCCGCGGUAAUACGUAGGGUGCAAGCGUUGUCCGGAAUUACUGGGCGUAAAGAGCUCGUAGGCGGUUUGUCACGUCGUCUGUGAAAUCCUCCAGCUCAACUGGGGGCGUGCAGGCGAUACGGGCAGACUUGAGUACUACAGGGGAGACUGGAAUUCCUGGUGUAGCGGUGAAAUGCGCAGAUAUCAGGAGGAACACCGGUGGCGAAGGCGGGUCUCUGGGUAGUAACUGACGCUGAGGAGCGAAAGGGUGGGGAGCAAACAGGCUUAGAUACCCUGGUAGUCCACCCCGUAAACGUUGGGAACUAGUUGUGGGGUCCAUUCCACGGACUCCGUGACGCAGCUAACGCAUUAAGUUCCCCGCCUGGGGAGUACGGA